RNAcentral lists this ribosomal RNA (230 nucleotides) under uncultured bacterium. RNAcentral describes it as "partial 16S ribosomal RNA". It matches the Rfam family "Bacterial small subunit ribosomal RNA", at positions 562 to 791 of the family's 1533-position model. The record is from RNAcentral.
AAAGGGUGUGUAGGCGGUCCUCUAAGUUUGGUGUGAAAUCUCCCGGCUCAACCGGGAGGGUGCGCCGAAGACUGGGGGACUAGAGUAUGGGAUGGGAAAGUGGAAUUCCUGGUGUAGCGGUGAAAUGCGUAGAUAUCAGGAGGAACACCUGCGGUGUAGACGGCUUUCUGGACCAUAACUGACGCUGAGACACGAAAGCGUGGGUAGCAAACAGGAUUAGAUACCCCAGU